RNAcentral lists this ribosomal RNA (325 nucleotides) under uncultured eukaryote. RNAcentral describes it as "partial 18S ribosomal RNA". It matches the Rfam family "Eukaryotic small subunit ribosomal RNA", at positions 1470 to 1796 of the family's 1831-position model. The record is from RNAcentral.
CCCUUAGAUGUCCUGGGCCGCACGCGCGCUACAAUGAUACACGCAACGAGUCCACCUUGUCCGAAAGGUCCGGGUAAUCUUGGAAAUGUGUAUCGUACUAGGGAUAGAUUUUUGCAAUUCUGAAUCUUGAACGAGGAAUUCCUAGUAAAUGCGAGUCAUCAGCUCGCGUUGAAUACGUCCCUGCCCUUUGUACACACCGCCCGUCGCUCCUACCGAUUGAGUGGUCCGGUGAGGCUUUGGGAUCUGAGCGGAAAGAGCGUUUCGCUGUUUCUGCCCGGAAAACUCAGUCGAACCUUAUCAUUUAGAGGAAGGAGAAGUCGUAACA